UCCUACGGGAGGCAGCAGUGAGGAAUAUUGGUCAAUGGACGAGAGUCUGAACCAGCCAAGUCGCGUGAAGGAAGACGGCCCUACGGGUUGUAAACUUCUUUUGUAAGGGAAUAAAGAGUCUUACGAGCUAAGACGUUGCAGGUACCUUACGAAUAAGGAUCGGCUAACUCCGUGCCAGCAGCCGCGGUAAUA
Molecule: ribosomal RNA, 192 nt
Filed under: uncultured Anaerophaga sp.
Lineage: Bacteria; Pseudomonadati; Bacteroidota; Bacteroidia; Marinilabiliales; Marinilabiliaceae
Description: partial 16S ribosomal RNA
Rfam family: Bacterial small subunit ribosomal RNA
Source: RNAcentral